GACGAACGCUGGCGGCGUGCUUAACACAUGCAAGUCGAACGGAAAGGCCCUGCUUUUGUGGGGUGCUCGAGUGGCGAACGGGGGAGUAACACGUGAGUAACCUGCCCUUGACUUUGGGAUAACUUCAGGAAACUGGGGCUAAUACCGGAUAGGAGCUCCUGCUGCAUGGUGGGGGUUGGAAAGUUUCGGCGGUUGGGGAUGGACUCGCGGCUUAUCAGCUUGUUGGUGGGGUAGUGGCUUACCAAGGCUUUGACGGGUAGCCGGCCUGAGAGGGUGACCGGCCACAUUGGGACUGAGAUACGGCACAGACUCCUACGGGAGGCAGCAGUGGGGAAUAUUGCACAAUGGGCGGAAGCCUGAUGCAGCAACGCCGCGUGCGGGAUGACGGCCUUCGGGUUGUAAACCGCUUUCGCCUGUGACGAAGCGUGAGUGACGGUAAUGGGUAAAGAAGCACCGGCUAACUACGUG
RNAcentral lists this ribosomal RNA (468 nucleotides) under uncultured bacterium. Its description in RNAcentral is "partial 16S ribosomal RNA". It matches the Rfam family "Bacterial small subunit ribosomal RNA", at positions 28 to 507 of the family's 1533-position model. The record is from RNAcentral.